AUUUUGAUGAGUUUAGUAGUUUACAAAACCGUUUCGUAGUGGACAAAUUGUGUCGUAAUUGAUAUCAACUCAAUAUUAAAUUGAUAAAAACAUACUGAAAAUUACAUGGUACUAACCCUUGUUAAUUGUUUUGUACAAAUAUAAUUGAAAAAUGAGUAUACAAAACGACUGCAUGCCAUGGUAGUUGUAGUGUCCCGGCACUACGAAACGAUUUUCUCCCGCAAACCGAAUAAGGAAAUAGAAAUCCAAAUAAGGAAAUAGAAACCGAAUAAGGAAAAAGUAACCGAAUAAGGAAAUGAAAAUCGAAUAAGGGAAAAGAAAAUAAACUCAUCAAAAUGUUUUUCUCCCGCAAACCGAAUGAGGAAAUAGAAAUUUAAAUAAGGAAAUAGAAACCGAAUAAGGAAAAAGUAACUGAAUAAGGAAAUGAAAAUCGAAAAUAAGGAAAAAGAAACCGAAUAAGGAAAUGAAAAUCAAAUAAGGAAAUAGAAACCGAAUAAGGAAAAAGAAACUGAAUAAGGAAAUGAAAAUCAAAUAAGGAAAUGAAAAUCGAAUAAGGAAAUAGAAACCGAAUAAGGAAAAAGGAAACAGAAUAAGGAAAUAGAAACCGAAUAAGGAAAAAGAAACCGAAUAAGGAAAUGAAAAUCGAAUUAGGAAAUAGAAACCGAAUAAGGAAAAAGAAACCGAAUAAGGAAAUGAAAAUCAAAAAAGGAAAUAGAAACCGAAUAAGGAAAUGAAAAUCGAAAAAGGAAAUAGAAAACGAAUAAGGAAAUGAAAAUCGGAAAAGGAAAUAGAAACCGAAUAAGGAAAUAAAAAUCGAAUAAGGAAAUAGAAACCGAAUAAGAAAAAAGAAACCGAAUAAGGAAAUGAAAAUCAAAAAAGGAAAUAGAAACCGAAUAAGGGAAUGAAAAUCGAAUAAGGAAAAAGAAACUGAAUAAGGAAAUGAAAAUUGAAAAAGGAAAAAGAAACCGAAGAAGAAAAUGAAAAUUGAAUAAAGAAAAAGAAACUGAAUAAGGAAAUGAAAAUCGAAUAAGGUAAUAGAAACCGAAUAAGGAAAAAGAAACCGAAUAAGGAAAUGAAAAUCAAAAAAGGAAAUAGAAAACGAAUAAGGAAAUGAAAAUUGAAAAAGGAAAUAGAAAACGAAUAAGGAAAUGAAAUCGAAAAAGGAAAUAGAAACCGAAUAAGGAAAUGAAAAUCGAAAAAGGAAAUAGAAAACGAAUAAGGAAACGAAAAAAAUGAGGAAAAAAAAUUUUGAGGAAAAUAUUUUUGAGGAAAAAAUUUUUGAGGAAAAAAAAAAUUUGAGGAAAAAAAAUUUUGUGAAAAAA
RNAcentral lists this long non-coding RNA (1322 nucleotides) under Mytilus galloprovincialis (Mediterranean mussel). Lineage: Eukaryota; Metazoa; Mollusca; Bivalvia; Mytilida; Mytilidae. The record is from RNAcentral.